GGGGGUGUAACUCAGUGGUAGAGUGUCCGUUUCGCAUACGGGAAGUCCUGGGUUCAAAUCCCAGCUCCUCCA
Melipona quadrifasciata is the source of this 72-nucleotide transfer RNA. It matches the Rfam family "tRNA". From Rfam's summary of the family: Transfer RNA (tRNA) molecules are approximately 80 nucleotides in length. Their secondary structure includes four short double-helical elements and three loops (D, anti-codon, and T loops). Further hydrogen bonds mediate the characteristic L-shaped molecular structure. tRNAs have two regions of fundamental functional importance: the anti-codon, which is responsible for specific mRNA codon recognition, and the 3' end, to which the tRNAs corresponding amino acid is attached (by aminoacyl-tRNA synthetases). tRNAs cope with the degeneracy of the genetic code in two manners: having more than one tRNA (with a specific anti-codon) for a particular amino acid; and 'wobble' base-pairing, i.e. permitting non-standard base-pairing at the 3rd anti-codon position. The record is from Rfam. NCBI's taxonomy places the organism in Eukaryota, Metazoa, Arthropoda, Insecta, Hymenoptera, Apidae.